This 467-nucleotide ribosomal RNA is filed under the name uncultured bacterium. RNAcentral describes it as "partial 16S ribosomal RNA". It matches the Rfam family "Bacterial small subunit ribosomal RNA", at positions 28 to 507 of the family's 1533-position model. The record is from RNAcentral.
GAUGAACGCUGGCGGCGUGCUUAACACAUGCCAGUCGAACGGCAAGGCCCAAGCUUGCUUGGGUACUCGAUUGGCGAAAGGGUGAGUAACACGUGGGUGAUCUGCCCUGCACUUCGGGAUAAGCCUGGGAAACUGGGUCUAAUACUGGAUAGCACCACUCCUUGGGUGUUGUGGUGGAAAGUUUUUUCGGUGUGGGUUGAGCUGGCGGCUUAUCCGCUUGUUGGUGGGGUAAUGGGCUACCAAGGCGUCGACGGGUAGCCGGCCUUAGGCGGUGUACGGCCACAUUGAGACUGAGAUACGGCCGAGACUGCUAAGGGAGGCAGCAGUGGGGAAUAUUGCACAAUGGGCGCAAGCCUGAUGAAGAGACGCCGCGUGGGGGAUGACGGCCUUGGGGUUGUAAACUCCUUUCGCUAGGGACGAAGCGUUUUCUGACGGUACCUGGAGAAGAAGCACCGGCUAACUACGUG